AACGAACGCUGGCGGCAGGCCUAACACAUGCAAGUCGAGCGCGCCCUUCGGGGUGUGCGGCGGACGGGUGAGUAACGCGUGGGAACGUGCCCUUUUCUACGGCAUAGCCUCGGGAAACUGAGAGUAAUACCGUAUACGCCCUUUUGGGGGAAGAUUUAUCGGAAAAGGAUCGGCCCGCGUUGGAUUCGGUCGUUGUUGGGGUAAUGGCCUCCCAAGCCGUCGAUUCAUAGCUGGUUUGAGAGGAUGAUCAGCCACACUGGGACGGAGACACGGCCCAGAAUCCUACGGGAGGCAGCAGUGGGGAAUCUUAGACAAUGGGGGCAACCCUGAUCGAGCCAGGCCGCGUGAGUGAUGAAGGCCUUAGGGUUGUAAAGCUCAUUCAGCUGGGAAGAUAAUGACGGUACCAGCAGAAGAAGCCCCGGCUAACUCCGUG
RNAcentral lists this ribosomal RNA (433 nucleotides) under uncultured bacterium. RNAcentral's name for it is "partial 16S ribosomal RNA". It matches the Rfam family "Bacterial small subunit ribosomal RNA", at positions 29 to 507 of the family's 1533-position model. The record is from RNAcentral.